This 222-nucleotide long non-coding RNA is filed under the name Elaeis guineensis (African oil palm). RNAcentral's name for it is "long non-coding RNA (EGUI_LNC027698)". The record is from RNAcentral. Lineage: Eukaryota; Viridiplantae; Streptophyta; Magnoliopsida; Arecales; Arecaceae.
AUCCGAGCCUGGUGACAUUCAAAAACAUGUGCUACAAGAAUAGUUUUAAUCCUAACAACAUACUCAAAAUAUGCCAUAUCAUAAAAUUAUAAAUAGAUAACAAAUAUUCAUCUAUACAAAAUAAACAUGAAUGUUCAAACUAAUGAUCCAACUAAGGCAUUCAAACUCUACGCAAUCCCAUACGUCUAAUAUGAGUCUCAAAUACUUUCCUACUUGGUGGCU